AGAAUCAACGCUGGCGGCGUGCCUAACACAUGCAAGUCGCACGAGAAAGGGGCUUCGGCUCUGAGUAAAGUGGCGCACGGGUGAGUAACACGUGAAUUAUCUACCUCCGAGUGGGGAAUAACUGAGAGAAAUCUUAGCUAAUACCGCAUAACACUUACGGGUCAAAGCAGCAAUGCGCUUGGAGAGGAGUUCGCGGCCGAUUAGUUAGUUGGCGGGGUAAUGGCCCACCAAGACGAUGAUCGGUA
RNAcentral lists this ribosomal RNA (245 nucleotides) under uncultured bacterium. Its description in RNAcentral is "partial small subunit ribosomal RNA". It matches the Rfam family "Bacterial small subunit ribosomal RNA", at positions 26 to 285 of the family's 1533-position model. The record is from RNAcentral.